Long non-coding RNA from Dendronephthya gigantea, 680 nucleotides. RefSeq lists it as uncharacterized. The record is from RefSeq and is a predicted model, not a curated record. NCBI's taxonomy places the organism in Eukaryota, Metazoa, Cnidaria, Anthozoa, Malacalcyonacea, Nephtheidae. The transcript has 3 exons.
AGGAUUCGAAGGAGUCUUAAUUGUUCUUACCGCGCCAUUUAACACAACAGAUGUUUUGCAUCAACUCACAUUGAUAUUCAUUGUUUAAAGAAAUUUAAUUUCACACACUUAAAUAUUGCUAACGUUAGUAAUAAAUUUCAAUGUGAUAUAUAUUGUUUAAUUAUAAAAGAACAGUUUAAUUUCGCACGCUCGCAUUUCUGGCUCAGUCUUGAUCGAAAGUGAAGCUGUUUUUUUGUCGUUCUCAUCUGAGAAGAGUACGCAAAGUUUUGAUUCAACAACAACAUAAACAAGUAUUGCAUAUGGCGAUUUCAUCUAACAAAAUCAUUUUAUUGGUCGUCAUCCUGUCUGUUGCUAUGGUAACAGAAGUGGCUCCAACCUGGUAUUCUAAUUUACAAGGCAAGAAGGUUGACAAAAGAGACCAUUGGCUGGAGGACCGAAAACAUCACACGAGAAAAGACGGGCUUGAUAAUAUGAUCAACAGUGGCGCGGGUAAUGGUAUGGAUAGCUUUGUUGAUGAGCUCGAGGGAAGUACAUAAAAGAGCAGCAAAGGUGGAAAUAUCGUCGUAUUUAUGAGCUAUUGUCAUGUUAAAUUAUUAAGAUUGUUGAAUCGAUAAUUGAUCAAUGUAAAAUUAUGUUACUAUAUAGAAUAAAGACUUAGGUGUUGAACGCUUAAAACAUGA